This 519-nucleotide ribosomal RNA is filed under the name uncultured eukaryote. RNAcentral describes it as "SSU rRNA". It matches the Rfam family "Eukaryotic small subunit ribosomal RNA", at positions 1161 to 1699 of the family's 1831-position model. The record is from RNAcentral.
AGGGCACCACCAGGAGUGGAGCCUGCGGCUUAAUUUGACUCAACACGGGAAAACUCACCCGGCCCGGACACUGGAAGGAUUGACAGAUUGAGAGCCCUUUCUUGAUUCAGUGGGUGGUGGUGCAUGGCCGUUCUUAGUUGGUGGAGUGAUUUGUCUGGUUAAUUCCGAUAACGAACGAGACUCUAGCCUACUAAAUAGAUCGUCGGCUUACAAACGCCGACGAGACUUCUUAGAGGGACAGGCGGUGAUUCAACCGCACGAAACAGAGCAAUAACUGGUCUGUGAUGCCCUUAGAUGUCCGGGGCCGCACGCGCGCUACACUGAAGUGAUCAGCGUGCUUUUUCAACCUACUCUGUCAAGAGUGGGGAACCCAAUGAACCUUCUUCGUGAUUGGGAUAGGGGGUUGUAAUUAUUCUCCUUGAACGAGGAAUUCCCAGUAAGCGCGAGUCAUAAGCUCGCGUUGAUUACGUCCCUGCCCUUUGUACACACCGCCCGUCGCUACUACCGAUUGAAUGUUUU